ACGAACGCUGGCGGCGUGCCUAAUACAUGCAAGUAGCACGCUGAAGGAGGAGCUUGCUUCUCUGGAUGAGUUGCGAACGGGUGAGUAACGCGUAGGUAACCUGCCUGGUAGCGGGGGAUAACUAUUGGAAACGAUAGCUAAUACCGCAUAAUAGUAGAUGUUGCAUGACAUUUGCCUAAAAGGUGCAAUUGCAUCACUACCAGAUGGACCUGCGUUGUAUUAGCUAGUUGGUGGGGUAACGGCUCACCAAGGCGACGAUACAUAGCCGACCUGAGAGGGUGAUCGGCCACACUGGGACUGAGACACGACCCAGACUCCUACGGGAGGCAGCAGUAGGGAAUCUUCGGCAAUGGACGGAAGUCUGACCGAGCAACGCCGCGUGAGUGAAGAAGGUUUUCGGAUCGUAAAGCUCUGUUGUAAGAGAAGAACGAGUGUGAGAGUGGAAAGUUCACACUGUGACGGUAUCUUACCAGAAAGGGACGGCUAACUACGUG
This 494-nucleotide ribosomal RNA is filed under the name uncultured bacterium. Its description in RNAcentral is "partial 16S ribosomal RNA". It matches the Rfam family "Bacterial small subunit ribosomal RNA", at positions 29 to 507 of the family's 1533-position model. The record is from RNAcentral.